GCCGCCGGCUCAGCUUCGGUGUUGGUGGGCCGGUCUGCGGGCCACCCCCUCACCAUUCCUGUUGUGGGGCCCACACCAGCAACUCGCAGACUCCUGUUCCCUGUGCAGCCGACGUCUCUGCUGUCCCCACCCCCACCCUGCGGUCCCACUGCCAACAGCGUCUCCUCAGCGCAACGCUCAGCCCGGCGGCCGCCAUCUUCCCCGCAGACAUCACUGCAGGACGAUCACUGUCUGGCACGUCUCUCCUGCCAUGUCUGCCACAGAGGAGCACGACUGGAUCCCAGGUGGCCCGGAUAGAGCUGGUGGCGGGGCGGGCCGCGACCCCAGUCUCCUUGGGGUCCAAGCAUCUGCUUGCGAGGGGACGGAAGGAGUCGAGGAGGCCACGGCUCUUCUGGCUUCCUUGGAGGUCUCCAGAGCCCUUCCCGG
Long non-coding RNA from Bos taurus (domestic cattle), 426 nucleotides. The record is from Ensembl. Lineage: Eukaryota; Metazoa; Chordata; Mammalia; Artiodactyla; Bovidae.